This 468-nucleotide ribosomal RNA is filed under the name uncultured bacterium. RNAcentral's name for it is "partial 16S ribosomal RNA". It matches the Rfam family "Bacterial small subunit ribosomal RNA", at positions 28 to 507 of the family's 1533-position model. The record is from RNAcentral.
GAUGAACGCUGGCGGCGUGCUUAAUACAUGCAAGUCGAGCGGAAAGACGAUGAGUUUGCUGGUUUGUCGAUAGCGGAAGGCGUGAGUAAAACGCGUGGAUAACGUCCCUAUAAGUGUGAUAUCAUUACGAGACAGCGGCGAAAAUACCGUAGAAGCUAUUGAACCGCAGGGUUGGAUAGUGAAAGUCGGCUGUGGGGGCUGGACUCGAGGCUUACGAGCUGGAUGGUGUGGUAGGGGCUUACAACGGCUUUGACGGGUAGGCGGCCUGCGAGGGUGACCGGCCACCUUGGGACUGCGAUACGGCCCAGACUCCUACGGGAGGCAGCAGUGGGGAAUCUUGCACAAUGGGCGGAAGCCUGAUGCGGCAACGCCGCGUGCGGGAUGACGGCCUUCGGGUUGUAAACCGCUUUCGCCUGUGACGAAGCGUGAGUGACGGUAAUGGGUCAAGAAGCACCGGCUAACUACGUG